GAACGAAUUGAAUCCACAACUUAUGAAAUAACAACUGAAUGUAAUCGAAUCAAAUUGCAAGCAUGUACAUGGUUUCGAAUUACCCCCCAACUAAGGGGGUUUAGUUCCUCAUACUCACAACACAAAGUUUAUUGAAUUGAAACAUUGAAACAUAAGAAAGAUCACACCUAAAAAUUCCAGCAAUCUAAAUUGCACAGCAGGAACAUCUAAGAACCUUCCUCCUCUUCCUUGGUUGCGGCACAGGGGUUUUGUGAUGGUUUUUGGGGUUAUGGAUGGUGUAGAAUGGUGGAAAAGUGUGUAGGAUAGGUGUAUGGGACGGCUAGGGUGGUUUUUGGGUCAGAAAAAUAUGGUGAAUGAUGAAGGAUAGGUGCUGUUGAAGAUGGGGAAUGGUUUCUGGCGUGAAGGAUUAAUUUCUGGAUUAUGGAGAGGGUUGUAAUUCGGCCAAGGGAGGUAAAACAUAUAUAUAUAGGCAGCCAAACCCUAAAGAAAAUCAGAUUAGACAAAUGGGCUAGGGUUUAGGUGAGGCUAGGGUUAGGAAAUCCACCAAAAACUAGGGUUUCUAGAAACAUUAGGUGCGGCAUGGGCUUAGGGUAAGUAAUCAGAUUUUUUUCAUGUGAACAAGGCCUAGGUGUGGCUGAUUAAGUGGGCUAGGGUUAGGGUUAGGUGCGGCAUAGGUCCAAGAGGCAAAAGAUGGGUCAUCCAAAAGCCCAAAGCCGAGAAUAGAAACUCUCGAAAAUUGGAAACCUCCAAAAAUAGAAAAUUCCAACUUUAGAAACUUUGGUUGCCAAUUCCGAUUUAGGAAAGAUCAACCCAAAAUGGAAACUUUUAGGCUUAGCUUUCCUACUUCAAGUAGGAAACCUCAAAUCUUCGAACUCUUCAAUUUCAACCCAACCUUGUGUUCCAAGCAUGUCCUUUUCAUUCCAAGCUCACUUUUUGCUCCUAAAAGCUCCAAAUUGCAUCAUUUCAUGUAAUAUGUCCUUUAAACCUGAAAACACAUGAAAGUAGCUUAAAAAGACUACUUUAACGAAGAAAACAUAACAAAGAUGCAUAAGAACUAGCUAACUAAGGCGCAUAAAUAUGCUCCUAUCAAAUUCCCCCACACUUAGCUUUUGCUAGUCCUCGAGCAAAACAAACAAAAGAAAGAAAACGAAACGAAACGAAACAGACUAACCAAAACAAACCUAAACCUUCCAACGUUUGCCUCAGGGAUUUCCAAUGCACAUGACAUGUUAAAAGAUUGCUAUCCCCACAGAUUUGAGUCAUCUUUACACAAGCACAUACUUAAUUAAAGCCACCACUUACUAGUUCACAAGUAAUCAAUUAAAACAAUGCUUUUGAAUGUAGUAACAUGCCUUAGAGAAUUCCCUCAAUUCCUUACAAGAUAUACACUCUAUUUUCACUCAGAUUUUCUAACUCCACACCCUACACUAGUCAUAUGUGAGAAGAUUGAUGUAGAUAUGAAAACGAAUGCUCACAUAUAUGUUUCACAAAGAACGCAAUUUCUAGAGUUAAGAAGCAUGUUUAGAUAUGAUCUCAUGAAUGGAAUGCUACUACUUAGAUGCGAGAACCAGUGACACCAUAUGCUCAUACCAAAUUCAAACUCCACAAAUUGAAACACAUAACACUCAAGAUAGAAGUUAAGGGUUGUAAUGGGGCUUAGGUUGUUGGUUAACAAGGAAAGGAUGGGGAAAACAAACGUUCUUCAAGCAAUAGUAAGCAAAGCAAUGAAAUUGAGACUUAGAAUUCACUUAGAUUGCAGAAAUUAACUUUAAAACACAAGGGGAAGACUUAAACAACUCCUUAGGGCCGAAUUCAUUGUUUUGGACCCUUACUUCAACAAACAAUACUUUGGAACUCUUUUUCUUUUUUUUUUUUUUUUUCAAACUGUUUUUUUUUUUUCAUACUUUUCACACUUUUUUCUUCAUUUUUUCUUUUUCCACGAAUUUUUUUUUCUUUUCUUUGCCGUGCCUAUGGCACACAAUUCCUCAUGAAAAAUACUUCCCCCACACUUGGUUUCUGCCAACAUAGAUCAAAAGGAAUUCAAUUUCGAAUCAUGCUUUACUAUGCUUUAAGAACAAGGGUAUGGAUGGUCCUAAACUAGGCUAGGUGAGGAUAAUGUGGGUUAACAAACAACAUAGGCUAAACAAGGCUCAACGGGGUUAAAACCUACAAAAACAUAAUGACAUAGGGGAUUCAUGGCUUUUUGGCUAAGGUGGUGGUCACUACACAACUUCAUCUUGAAUAUGUGUUAUGCAAAUCAAUAACAUGCUUUGAAUGAAAUGGGCAUGAGUUCUAGCAUUUGGAACUAAAUGAUGAAACGCCUUCUAAGUAGCAACCAAGCAAAGAAUAAUGAGAUCAUGCAACGACUUAGAAAACAAAGAAUGCACAGAUUUUAACUCUCCAAAUAAACGUUUAGGCUCAAGUCUCACAAGGUUGUAGCGUUAGUUUGAGUUCCUUCCUUCAAGCAUGUUACAAAAAACUGAUUUUUUUCUUUUAUGAUUGCAUGUGAAUUCAUAAGUUAUAACCACAACUAAGCAUAAACAAAGAGUAAAUCAAACUUUCAUCCAUGUUAAUCACUCUCUUUAACAGCCAUGUAAUUACAAACCGAAUCCUCAUCAUUGUGUUGGAAGGUACCCUAAGACACAAACAAACACACAAAAACAACUCUUUUUUGGGUUUUUUAAAACAAAUUUUUCAAAUUUUUAUGUAAUUUUCGGAUUUUUACUUCAAAACACACUAAAACACAUCAAAACUGCUCAAAAACACUUAAAAACAGCAAGGAACAAGUCUUCAAGUUUAGGGUGAUAAAAUCCCACGAAUUUGCAUCUAAAACACUUAGUUACCCCCCCACACUUAAAUCAAACAUUGUCCUCAAUGUUUCAAGCAUGAAAUCACACUAAACAAAAAGAAACACACAAACAGCAACUAAAACAACUAAAUAGGCAGAUUCAAAAUAAAUAACAAAGGGAAGAGUUUAGGAACGCAAAUCUGGAAUUGGGAGUGAUUCCUUGGUCUUCCUCUGUUGAAUUGCAUGGGUUGCCUCCCAAGUAGCGCUUUCUUUUACGUCUUGCAGCCGGACAAUGCUCCUUUGAAGGUUAUUGAACCCCACGGCAUGGAGGGGUGUUUCCUCUACACCUUGUCCUUCGAACCACUUCAUGCAUUGGGUCCUUGAAUGGAAUGGGAUAAUGAUCCUUUCGUAGUGUCGUGUUGUGCUUCUCUAAAUUAACACGAACUCUCCCACCAUAUUGACUUUGAUUAGGUACCUGCACCAUACAAGGUAACAACCGAUUAGUUGAAAUGGGAAUUGAAAUUGGAUCAGGUGGCUUACCUAGGUGCGGCAUAGGAGUGGGAGUACAAUGGACAGAUGCACAAAGGUUGCACUCGGCCAAAUUUGGUGAUUUCAAGGUUGAGGCCGUGCAUUCUUUGUUGCUCACUCCAAUUCCCUCCUCGAUGGUAGUUCGAGGUGCAUUUUUCUUGACUAGUGUUGAACAUUCCUGCCCUAUAUUUUCAAUUACAUUAAUGGCACAACAAGAACGAACAUCAUUAGUAUUCUCAAUUGAUUCAGGAAUCUUAAAGUUAAUCAUAUCACCACCAAAGGCCAUAGUUACGGCUCCCUUGGCCACAUCAAUCUUGGUUUGAGCCGUUUUCAUGAAUGGUCGUCCAAGCAAGAGUGGUGAUGGUGGAUAGUGGGUUGAGUCCUCCAUAUCAAGCACAUAGAAAUCUGCAGGAAAAAUCAAAUGGUCUACCUGCAACAAAACAUCUUCCAACACUCCCUUGGGAUAUGCAUUAGAUCGAUCGGCUAAUUGAAUUAUAACGCCAUCAUUUUUAAGUUUUCCUAGAUUCAUAGAUGCAUAAACAGAAUAUGGCAUGACAUUAAUUGAUGCACCUAGAUCUAGCAUAGCAUGUUCAAAUCUUGUAUUACCAAUUACACAAGGGAUUGUGAAACUACCUGGAUCUUUACAUUUAGGUGGUAGCUUCCUUUGCAACAUUGCAGAGACAUUCUCGCUUACAUGUACCACCUCCUUCUCCCUAAUCCGCUUCCUCGUUGUACAAAGCUUCUUCAAGAACUUGGCAUACUUCGGGAUUUGCUUGAUUGCAUCCAAAAGAGGUAUGUUAACUUGAACUUUCCUAAAUGUCUCUAGAACAUCUUUUUCCUCCUCUUCAUUCUUGGAUUGCAAAAAUCUGCUAGGAAAGGGCACAUUGGGUGGAAUAAUGUUAGAAUUAACUGAACUUGGACCUUUCUUACCUAGGGUGGACGGAUUGGAGGACUUAGGAUCAAUGGUUGCUUGCGGCAAAGGUUGCUCCACCUUUGCCGUGGGUUGCUUUGGGUUCUCCUCUCCAGAUUUCAACGUUUCAUCUUCUUUGGGACCUGAUUUUGGUGGUGUAGGACCUGCCCCAACUUCUUUUCCACUCCUUAGCAUGAUUGCAUUUGCGGUUUCAAAGCCUCCCUUUGGACUUGGAAUGGUGGAACUAGGGAGUUGUCCGGGAUCUCGAAACUUACCUACAAACUCGGCAAUCUGCCCAAUUUGUUUCUCAAGUUGAUCCACCCUUCUGUCUUGGUUUUGCAUAGCUUUAGCUUGAUCUUCCUGCCCAUUAGACAACUUAGUUAGUAUCUUAAGAAGUGCAUCAUUGUCAAGAGACGUACCUGAGGCACUUGGGCCGGAUUGGGCUUGAUUUUGGGGUGGGCCGUAAGUUUUGGGAAAGAACCCCGGGGGUUGUUGCCUAAAGCCUCCUUGGUUUUGAGGUUGUUGGGGCUCCCUCCACUUGAAAUUUGGGUGAUCUCUCCAACCGGGAUUAUAUGUGUUUGAAUAUGGAUCGUUCCUUGGUUGGUUUUGCCCUUGAAACCCAAUUGCAUGGGCGCUUUCCCAUCCACCAUUUUCAAUCAACUGUGGACAUUUUUCAGAGACAUGUCCUUGGAUGGAACAUACGCCACAUACAAUUGGUCCUUGCAUCUUCAUGCCCUCGGCCAUCUGAGACACAAGAGAAGUAAGAUUAGCCAAUUGUGAAUGAAGAUCAGAAGUUGAACUUACCUCAUGUACUUGGUGCCGUGGGGGUCCUCUUUGGCCUACACCCUCGUACUGUUGAGCGUUCAACGCUCUAUUAGCAAUCAAGACCUUGGCAGCCAUGGGUGUUUUGUCCACCAAUGCUCCCCCCGCCGAAGCAUCAAGCAUUUGACGUUCUAGAGGUAGGAGACCCUCGUAGAAGUAUUGCAAAAGCAACUCCUCCUUCAUCUGAUGCUGUGGACAAGAAGCAACAAGUGAUUUAAAUCGUUCAUAAUAUGUAGGAAAAGACUCACCUUCCUCUUGCUGAAUUCCGCUUAUCUUUUUGCGUAGGAGGAUGAUGCGAGAAGUUGGAAAGAACUUCUCCAAGAACGCUCUUUUCAUACUCUCCCAAGAAGUGACAGUGCUGGGAGCUAACUCGUAUAACCAAUCCUUGGCUUUAUCCAUCAAAGAGAAUGGAAAAGCCUUCAUCUUCAAGAUAUUUCCGUCAACAUUGACGGGAGUCGUACUAGAGCAAACUACUUCAAAUUCUUUCAAAUGUUUGUUAGGAUCUUCCAUGGACAAGCCAUGGUAUUUAGGAAUAUGAUGAAGCAAACUUGACUUUAAUUCAAACUCAUCCGUCUUACCUUGGGCAGCCAUGGGGUAUUGAAUGCACAAGGGUGCGGCAUUAUCCAAACCUGAGGCGGAAAGCUCCUUGAGUGUACGAUUGUCCAUGGCCAUGCCUUGGACUUCUUCAAAUAUCCCUGCCGUGGCUUCCUCCUCCUCUUCUUGUACGUUUUCUUCAAGGUCAGAUUCGGAAUUGGGUGGAUGGUGUUCUUGCUGGUUUCUAGCUCUUCUUAACUUCCUCUCAAAAUCGUCGUCAAAAUCCAAGAUGUUUGCACGAAUCGUUUGAGAGCUUCUAGUCAUACAUUAGUACCUAAGAAACAAGAAACAAAAUUAGGUCAGAAACUUAAACAAAGUCAGAAACAAAGUGAAAUAAAAGAAACAAAAACAAUCCAAGGGAUUAGCAAAAUUGCUAAUCCCCGGCAACGGCGCCAAAAAUUUGAUGCGAAAUAGAUAAGCACACAAAUUAAACCCUCUUUUUGUCAAAUUGUAGCAAAGAUGUAAGUAGGGAUCGUUCUAAACCGGGGAUUAGGAGGGAUUGCUAAACACUUGGAAACUGACUUAAAAACUCAAAAACAAAGUUUAAAACACUAAACUAGACUCAAAGAAUGCAAAAGUAAAGGUUAAAAGACUUAAACAAACCUAAAACUCAAAACAGCAACUAGAAGGCUCAAAACUGCCUAAAAAACCACUUUCUGGGCAGUUUUGAGCACCUACACUAAUUUGGACGAAAUUUGAUGAAAACUUGAAUCAAAAAUACUUAGAAACACAAAUCAAAAUACUUUCUAACUAAUCUAAGACUUCAAAUGAAGGGGGAUUUGUUUUGGACGAAAAUUUAAACACAAAACAGAAACUUUAAUUAGCACAGAUUGUAAAAACGAUUUUGGUGAAAUAGAUGGAUAAAAGGCUAGUUAGGAGGUUCUUCUCCACACAUGUCACACUUGCAAACAAAACGAUUUUCAGUUGUUUUCUUCCAAUAAAUUAUAAAUACUCAACGCCCCAGAUUAACCGUGAAUUGCACUAAUUAACCCUCAGUUUUUCCACAAGUUAUUAAGUUGGAUGAUUGCAUACGACAACCCAAAACAUUCCCUACAAGUUCCCUACAUGAAUUGCAUAAUAGAGAUACAAGCAAGAAUCAUUACGUUCUAUGAAAAACAUAAGCAUUGACGAAGCAUUUGUUACUAUGAAUUGCAUGAAACUUAUGCUAAGAAUUCAUUCAACGCGAUCGUUUUCAAGCGAUCUUCACUACUUGUGAUUAUAAGAUUGUAACUAUUAGGUGAAACUCCCUCAUAAUCUAGCAUCAUAUUCAUGCAUGAAAACUAAGCGUGCACUCUCAAUCAACAUACAUAAAUAAGUAUCAAUCAAAUAGAUGAACGAAUUGAAUCCACAACUUAUGAAAUAACAACUGAAUGUAAUCGAAUCAAAUUGCAAGCAUGUACAUGGUUUCGAAUUACCCCCCAACUAAGGGGGUUUAGUUCCUCAUACUCACAACACAAAGUUUUAUUGAAUUGAAACAUUGAAACAUAAGAAAGAUCACACCUAAAAAUUCCAGCAAUCUAAAUUGCACAGCAGGAACAUCUAAGAACCUUCCUCCUCUUCCUUGGUUGCGGCACAGGGGUUUGUGAUGGUUUUUGGGGGUUAUGGAUGGUGUAGAAUGGUGGAAAAGUGUGUAGGAUAGGUGUAUGGGACGGCUAGGGUGGUUUUGGGUCAGAAAAUAUGGUGAAUGAUGAAGGAUAGGUGCUGUUGAAGAUGGGGAAUGGUUUCUGGCGUGAAGGAUUAAUUUCUGGAUUAUGGAGAGGGUUGUAAUUCGGCCAAGGGAGGUAAAACAUAUAUAUAUAGGCAGCCAAACCCUAAAGAAAUCAGAUUAGACAAAUGGGCUAGGGUUUAGGUGAGGCUAGGGUUAGGAAAUCCACCAAAAACUAGGGUUUCUAGAACAUUAGGUGCGGCAUGGGCUUAGGGUAAGUAAUCAGAUUUUUUUCAUGUGAACAAGGCCUAGGUGUGGCUGAUUAAGUGGGCUAGGGUUAGGGUUAGGUGCGGCAUAGGUCCAAGAGGCAAAGAUGGGUCAUCCAAAAGCCCAAAGCCGAGAAUAGAAACUCUCGAAAUUGGAAACCUCCAAAAAUAGAAAAUUCCAACUUUAGAAACUUUGGUUGCCAAUUCCGAUUUAGGAAAGAUCAACCCAAAAUGGAAACUUUUAGGCUUAGCUUUCCUACUUCAAGUAGGAAACCUCAAAUCUCGAACUCUUCAAUUUCAACCCAACCUUGUGUUCCAAGCAUGUCCUUUUCAUUCCAAGCUCACUUUUUGCUCUAAAAGCUCCAAAUUGCAUCAUUUCAUGUAAUAUGUCCUUUAAACCUGAAAACACAUGAAAGUAGCUUAAAAGACUACUUUAACGAAGAAAACAUAACAAAGAUGCAUAAGAACUAGCUAACUAAGGCGCAUAAAUAUGCUCCUAUCAUCAAUGUAGACUUCGACAAUGGUACCAAUUAAAUCUUGGAAAAUAGUGUUCAUGGCUCGUUGGUAUGUUGCACCGGCAUUCUUGAGGCUGAAGGGCAUGACGACCCAUUCGUAUAUGCCGAGUGCCCCGGGACACUGAAA
This 8195-nucleotide long non-coding RNA is filed under the name Malus domestica (apple). RNAcentral describes it as "long non-coding RNA (MDOM_LNC011286)". Lineage: Eukaryota; Viridiplantae; Streptophyta; Magnoliopsida; Rosales; Rosaceae. The record is from RNAcentral.